GACAAACAGGUCGAGUUAAAUUACGGUUGGUAAAAAAGGAAGUUAGAAGAAUUUAGUUUGUAUAAGAGAGAUGAAUUUCUUUUGUAGGAGUAAAAUCUGUGCAAAAGAAGGUGGAUUAUGAGCUCCCUAUUGUUUUGAUACUUCGAAAGUUAGUGAGGAGACCGGGGUUAGAUAUCCCGUUAUUUUUAUUUUAAAAUUUGGUUUUGUUUUGACCUACCUGAGUACUACGGAUUAAAUUGCGUGAAUAGGCAUUAAUUUGUUAUGUGGCAAUUUUUUUAUUUAAAACUCAAAAGACUUGGCGGUGCCUUAAUUCUUGCCAGGGGAACCUGUCCUGUAAUCGAUAAUCCACGUUUUAACUUACUUUUCUUUGAAUAUAAGCCUAGUGGCAUAUAUCAGCCUGUAUACCGUCGUCGUCAGAUUACCUUUAGAGAGUAAAGAAGUUGUCGGGAGAAUACUGCUUAGGUGCUGAGGUGCUGAGUCAGAUUGACAAUGUACUUGGAGCUUAGGUGUGUUUUAAUGUCAGAUCAAGGUGCAGCCCAUAGAAAAGGAGAGAUGGGUUACAGUAUAAAUUUAAUCUGGAGCUUGGAAUGUAAUUUUUAGGUGAAAUUGGACUUGGAAGUAAUAUAGUAGACUAGUAAGUAGUUAGUCUGUGUGAACGUUGUGCUAAGGUGCGU
This 674-nucleotide ribosomal RNA is filed under the name Stomatella impertusa B STW-2009. Its description in RNAcentral is "partial 12S ribosomal RNA". Lineage: Eukaryota; Metazoa; Mollusca; Gastropoda; Trochida; Trochidae. The record is from RNAcentral.